CGGCGUCUAGUUUGCUCGCCUGGUCGGCCCCAUGAGAGUGGCUGCGCCAGUGGCUCUCGUUGACAACGUACAUCAGUAACCUCAGAAAGUCGUUCCUCGCGAACGACAUCGCAACGCCGGCUGUAGCGGCAGCCAUCCGGCCGUUCCCUUUUGCCGUGUGGUAGGUCGUCCCUGCUGAAUCAGCAAUCUCCUCCGAUGCCUGCGUUGUUUAGCGGAGUUUCCGCAUCCAGCAACAGCGGCGGCGACUUUUAUCCAUCCCCAUUUUCCCUUGACCCUGUGUUUGUACGAACAGUCUGGGAACACCACAACAUGUUCAUUUUCUAGGUGAAAUUGUAACCUAUCAACCGCAGGCUCUCUGUACUGAAGAGGAAACUGAAAUAUGCGCCAUGCGGCUUCACAUCCAGAUAUGUACCGGGCAUCAAGGUACCUCUUGAUUUCGUCGUCCCUGUUUGUUAAUUUGCUAGCUCUUUUUUCACUUUGUUGCUCUUCUGCUUCUAUCAAGACAGUUGUUCGAUCUUCUCCUUUGUGGAUGUAUUUGAAUAAAUACUUUAUAGACCUUGAUCUGUUGCACCAUUCAACAUUUAUGUGGGCUUGAUACUUGACCAGUAGGUUUCUAUUGUAUGGCACAACAAAUCUAUUGUCUAGCUUCACUCCAUUCUUGUCCACAGUGUUGCCAUCAUCUCGUCUUCUAUAUACUGGAUAGUUAUCUUCAUCUAUGGUAGUCUCAGUGCAAAAAUUCUUGGGGAAAUGUUUGGCACAACUUUUAUCGACCAUGCAUGGUGAUUUUGGGUGUGCUUGACCACAUGGACCAUGUAUCAUAUAAUUUUGCACUGCUUCGUACCCUUCUGGAUCACUAUUCUUAUCAGGAAUUUCAGCUGAUAUGAUUUUGUCGAUCUGGGAAGGACUUGGAUCUUUAUCAUCUGGGUGUAGAAACACCAGUAUGUGUGCAUGCGGGAGUCCUCUUUUCUGGAACUCUAUAGUGUAGACAACUGUAUGAAUAUGAAAGUAAACAAAUUUGAGAAGAAAUGAGUUAGGACAAUCAUCUAGGAAAGAGUGAAUAUCUACUUAUUAGGUAAACUUACUUGCAAUUGUUUGUCCAAAUCACUUCCCGUUCUUUAUGUCAUUCAUAAGUUCCUUCAGUUUGAACAUGAAUACUCUGGCAACAAUAUCUGGAUGAUCUUCAGGUUUCUGGCCUGGAAUCAGAUCCAACAUAUCUUGUAUUUCCGGCCAUUUUGGAUUGCAUGUAAAAGUAAUGAAGAGAUCAGGAUAGCCAGCCCAACGACAAAUCGCCAUGGCAUCUUGGUAGUUUUGCUGCUUAUUUCUUGGACUGCCAUUAUAUGAUGAGGGUAGUAUGAUUCUUUGUCCAACUUGUUCGGUUCGUGUAUCUCCAUUUUCUAUUGCAUCAUGCAGUCCUCUGUACAGUUCUGUCCUCAACUUACCUUGGUUUGUCCUGUACCAAUUUAGUCUCCACUGUUCAAUGCACGUUGCUGCAUCAACUAAGAACUGCAGGAACAAACGUCCACUCAUUUGCAAUGUUGAAGCUUGGUUCAGACGUUGUUGUAUGCGAUACGCAUAAAACUCCAGCAUUGUUACAUACUUUCUUUUACCUUUGCUGCCUCUUUUAUUUUCAUACUCUAUUUCUGGUCUGAAACCAUCUUCUCCAUAUGGAAAAAGCAAGGGGUACUGCAUUGACAUAUAGCUUGGGUGCAACUCUGAAAUCCUCUGUAACAUUCUGUCUUUGGUCUCAACUAUUAUAUCAAAUUCAUUAUUUUCUCCAUCUUGUUCCCCAAUAAUUAGUGCUGCGACUUCUGAGGCAGAUGGUAGGUUGUAUUGCCGUCCAUCUUUCGACCUUUUGUUGAUCAAUCUUAGUCUUACAUCUUUAAUACGUCGGUUUUGGAAUCUGUCCCUUGCCAUACGAAAUGAUUUGACUAAAACAUUGUGCUCAUCAAGCAUCUCCAGUAGUCCUUUGACAAUGUUUUCAUCUGGUUGUGUCUUACUCUCCGUUGAAGCUGAUGCAUUAAUCCUAUUCCGCACUUCAUUUUCUGUGUCAUGUAUGUACAAUUGGGCAAAUUUUGGUUUCGUCACGUCAUCUUUAGGAAGUAAAGUGCCAAUCUGAUGGUAAUUCUGGCCAUUCAAACGGAAAACAUACGGUCCAGAUGCCUGCUUAUUAAUUUCAUAGUCAACCUUUCCUCCCAUUGAAGUGAAUGCGAACAUCGAGUUGUACAACCUGAUGUUCUGGCGGAAAUUUGAUGAUUCUCCUCUUUCAUUGUAACGUAGUAGCUGUCGGAGAUACAGCGGAGCUUGUUUCAGUGGUGGUAAUUUAACUUUCCCUUCCUUGCAGCAGAGACCAAAUUUUGGAACUGUGAUGUUACCUGUGCUUGUGCUUCUCUCUCCAUGCCACAUAAUGGCAUUGCAAAAUUCACAAACACAAUUUGGUUUUCCCAGAUAUGAAACUUGAGUAACAUCCUUCGCUACAUUAGAUACUUCACAGUUAUUGCCCUUUUCUGUCCUUAGUCGUUUGCUUGUCUUUUUCAGCUGGAGGAUCUCUUUCCUUUUCCGCCUAGCUUCCUUUGCUGCUGCUCUAAUGAUGUCUGAUUGACUAUCAUUAGAUUCGAGUGUUGCUAGUUCGGAGGCUGCUUGCUCAGUGCGUGUUCGAUGCAUGUUGACUGCAGCUGGUGAAUCCUGAAAUAAAUGAGGCACCACAUUGUUCGCAAGGAUGCUGAAGGAGACAUGCAUAUAUUAUUUGUGGAAGGAGAUAAUGAACAUUGCCUGCAAGUACUGCCACACGACCUGUCUGCUCCUUGCUGCUGGCGAGAGGAGGGUAAUGUGUUGCCGGGAUGUGCACACUGUGUAAUUGGUGAUCUGAAUCUCAAGUUUAUCGGCUCUUUCUCUCUGUAAUUCAAGUUAAUACAAAGCAUGUGUACUGAGAUCGGAGAGUUAAUGCAUAUAUUAAUCAUUGCAAGGAUACAUGCAUGUAUUAUUUGUGGAAAGAGAUAAUGAACAUUACCUGCAAGUACUGCCACACAACCUGUCUGCUCCUUGUUGCUGGCGAGAGGACUAAUUAUCGCCUGUAUGUGAUGAAGGAUUAGAUCAGAGGCGAUGUCUUGCCUGGAUGUGCACGAAUUGAGUCGAUAUAGAAUUCUUAUUUGUAAAGAAGCGUAGGGCUAGAGUUUGUAGGUUAGAGUUUGUCAUCUGUACGUUCUAAACCUAUGCAAUACUUGAGCCGUUAUUAUUUUGUGUCA
This is a long non-coding RNA of Triticum aestivum (bread wheat), 3242 nucleotides long. RefSeq lists it as uncharacterized. The record is from RefSeq and is a predicted model, not a curated record. The transcript is spliced from 5 exons. Lineage: Eukaryota; Viridiplantae; Streptophyta; Magnoliopsida; Poales; Poaceae.